AGGUGACGUCGUUGAGGAGAAGUGGGAACGGCGGGGAGGUGACGCCGUGAGGAGAAGUGGGAACCGGGAAGGUAACACCAUUGAGGAGAAGUGGGAACGGCGGGAAGGGCAUGUGCGCACCACCCUCGGGCAUCAUCCUGGAAACUGCGGGAACCCAGCUGCCAGGUUGCUGAUAUGCUCCACGUUCAGGGGCUGUCCCAUCAGGAAAGGUGCCUGUGGGGGUGAGGAGCCCCUCUUCUGAUCCUCCUGCUUUCCUGGGGGGUGAAGCUGCUUUCCCUGAAAACAUCAGGCCCCCCUCCCAGCUGCCAGACCCCACAGUGUGGUCUUUGUCCCCAGGGGCAGUGCUUUCUGCCCCUUUUGUUCUCUGCUGAUCCCCAGAGCCUGGCCCUGCACAGGGCGUCGGUGAUGUCUGUGGAUUAGAGAUCUGCUCCCCUGUGCCUCCACAGGGGAGGGCCACACAUGCAUACAUGUGCACACUCACACACACAGGGUCACACACAUGAUCAUGCUUACAUGUCACACACCAUACACACACACUCUUGUGUACACAUGGUACACACUUACCCUAGUGCAGCCACACAGUUCACACCCACCAACCCCCUCCUGCUGACACUCUCACAGUCACACACAUGCAUUCACCAUGCCCUCCCCCAGUGGGCUCUGGGAUUCCACCAACCGUAGCUGGGUGGCACCCCGUGGCCUUCACCACUGCGUGGCCCAACACACAAAGGAGGCCUGGGGCCUCUCCCGACUCUAGGAUCAGCCCUUCCUGGUUCCCUGGGCCAACAUUCUCCUGCAGGCCCAGUCUCCGUCGGCCCUCACACGUGGGGAUUCCAGCCCAGCCCCCUUUCCCAGACUCCACACUUGGAUUCUCAAGCCAUAGGUAAAGUAGCCGUGCCGGCACUGACUGGCCCCAAAGUGGAGCCGAUGCCACAAAGCGCUGCUGGGCCAGACACCAGCCAGGCAGAGUGAGGACAGCACAGGCCCCUGGGACAGCGGUGCAGGUCGGCUUCCAGCCGACUUUGGGGUCCCCAGGACCCUGCCUUUCUGGAGGGGUCACCAAGCCAGGGCUGGGCUCCACCUGGCCAUUUGUGAGAUGUGCAGCUUUUUGCGCUGGUGCUGCCCCUGGGGCAGUUUAAACAGCGGUGGUGGGAGGGUGUGCAAAUGCUUCCAACCAGGGGCUUCAUUUUCGCUUUUUCCUGGAGAGCCUGCUUGCCAGCACCCUGCUACCAGGGACCCUCCGUGCCUCCCCAACUCCACCCAACCCCUUCUCCAGCUCCCCUAGGGGAGGGCGGCACCUUGCUCUUCUGAGCGGAGCCGAGGAGAGCCAGGACCCUGCACAUCACCACGUUCCUCCUGCCCCUGGCUUCUGCUUGCCUGUCCCCAGAAGCUGGGAUUCCAGGUCGAUUUCAACUAAGCUCUUUUUUAAGUACAUACACACCAGUGGGAUUUGAUUACUGGCCUCACCUGCGCUGGAAGAAGCUCUAUCUUUAACUUCUGUUCUGCCCAUUCUGCUCAUGUAUAUAUUCCAAGAUGUUUUAAACAACAAUUCGACCAUCUAUUACAAAUGUUCAGAAUUCUCACCACCUUCUGGUUAAGCAAGUGUCAUGGAUUGAACUGUGUCCCCCUGAAACUCUUAGGCUGGAGUCCUAGUCCCACAGCCUCAGAAUGUGACCUUAUUUGGAGACAGGGUCUUCACAGAGCUGAUCCGUUUAACAGGAGGUCCCAGGGUGGGCCCUAAACCCCAUGGCUGGUGUCCGUAGAAGAUGGGCACAUUUGGACACUGAGACACAGACAAGAAGAUGACCACAUACGGCCACACGGGAUGCCCUCCGAGGAACCAGCUCCGGCCGCACCUUGAUCUUGGCCUUCCCGCCUCCUUUCCCGCUGUUUAAGCCGCCUGUGAGAGUGCCCCAUGAUGGCAACGCCAGCGGGCACAUAUACAGCAGGCCUCUGGGGUCCAGCCUGGGAGCCCAGACACAGACACCGUCUCUACCUGGCAAGAUGGGGUGACGAAAUGAGAAAUGAAUAGAUCUGGUCUCUGCUCCCGAGACCCAGCACAGGGCUCCAAAAGCCCUCGAAUUUCCUGGGUGAUGGCAGCAGAUUCUUUUGUUCAAAUGAGGUGAGGCUUGGUGGCUCCUGGAGGGGGGCCGGUCACCAGAGAGACCAGCCAGGAUUAGCACCUGCAGCUCUCAACCCUGCCCCCACCCUCCUCCGGGGAUCAUCCACCAUCAUCCUUCACGUCUGUGAUGGAGCCUCCAUAAGAAUGCUUGGACUACGGGUCCGGAGCAGUUCCAGGUUGCUGAACACAUCCACGUGCCAGGAGGGUGGUGCCCCCCACUCCACAGGGACAGAAGCUCCUGGGCUGGGGACCCUUUCAGACCCUGCCCUGUGCCCCGCCCACCUGGCUGCCCAUCUGCGGCCUUUCUUGUCUCCUUUUCCUGCGUUCUGUGAUAAUUUUGUAUUGCACUCUUGAUAUUUAAGGCUAAUGUGUAACUAGAAAACUGAGUUUUAAUAUUUAAUGCCCUUGGAUUUGGGAAAUCUCUUACUACAUUAUGUUUGGAUAUACUUUCUCUGUGGAGAUAAAUAUUUUAUCGAGGCUGU
RNAcentral lists this long non-coding RNA (2604 nucleotides) under Pongo abelii (Sumatran orangutan). Its description in RNAcentral is "lincRNA". Lineage: Eukaryota; Metazoa; Chordata; Mammalia; Primates; Hominidae. The record is from RNAcentral.